UUUUACGGAGAGUUUGAUCCUGGCUCAGGAUGAACGCUGGCGGCGUGCUUAACACAUGCAAGUCGAACGAUGAAGCCCAGCUUGCUGGGUGGAUUAGUGGCGAACGG
This 107-nucleotide ribosomal RNA is filed under the name Micrococcus luteus. Its description in RNAcentral is "partial 16S ribosomal RNA". It matches the Rfam family "Bacterial small subunit ribosomal RNA", at positions 1 to 105 of the family's 1533-position model. The record is from RNAcentral. Lineage: Bacteria; Bacillati; Actinomycetota; Actinomycetes; Micrococcales; Micrococcaceae.